AGGUACAGGCAUAAACUCGAGA
RNAcentral lists this microRNA (22 nucleotides) under Branchiostoma floridae (Florida lancelet). RNAcentral describes it as "bfl-miR-4862-3p". The record is from miRBase by way of RNAcentral. Lineage: Eukaryota; Metazoa; Chordata; Leptocardii; Amphioxiformes; Branchiostomatidae.